GACGAACGCUGGCGGCGUGCUUAACACAUGCAAGUCGAACGGAAAGGCCUGCUUUCCCUUGUGGAUUGCGGGUACUCGAGUGGCGAACGGGGGGGUAACACGUGAGUGAUCUUGCGCCAACUUUGGGAUAAGCCUGGGUAACUGGGUCUAAUUCCCGAUGGGACCGUAGGGUGGUUCCUGUGGUGUAAAACGAUUUUCUAGUGGUUGGGGAUUGGCUCGCGGCCUAUCGGCUUGUGGGUGGGGUAAUGGCCUACCAAGGGGGCGACUGGUAGCCGGCCUGAGAGGGUGGACGGACACACUGGGACGGCGAUUCGGCACAGACACCUACGGGAGGCAGCAGUGGGGGAUAUUGCACGAUGGGCGGACGCCUGAUGCAGCGACGCCGCGUGGCGGAUCCCGGUCUUCGGGUUGUACCCUCCUUUCGUACGCGGGGAAGCCACCUGGUUGGAAGGGUGGUGACGGUAGUGGUAGAAGAAGCACCGGCUAACUACGUG
Molecule: ribosomal RNA, 494 nt
Filed under: uncultured bacterium
Lineage: Bacteria
Description: partial 16S ribosomal RNA
Rfam family: Bacterial small subunit ribosomal RNA
Source: RNAcentral